Molecule: long non-coding RNA, 231 nt
Filed under: Brassica rapa (field mustard)
Lineage: Eukaryota; Viridiplantae; Streptophyta; Magnoliopsida; Brassicales; Brassicaceae
Description: long non-coding RNA (BRAP_LNC004296)
Source: RNAcentral
UAUCUAACCACACCAUUCUAGACUUACUAGUUGCAAAUAACACUAAAGAAACCAAAGUGGAUCAACCUCUCGACUAUGUUACAUUUUCUGAGAAUGUUUUAAGGAACAAAAGCUGACCUCUAACCUAAUUGAGCUCAACUUUGCUUGUCUUGGGACUAGGUAUACAUGGGAUUAGAUUCUUUAAACAAGUCUGGAAGGUAAAACCUUGUGUAGAUUUAUCACCAUCUCUCU